This 1038-nucleotide ribosomal RNA is filed under the name uncultured bacterium. RNAcentral describes it as "bacterial SSU rRNA". It matches the Rfam family "Bacterial small subunit ribosomal RNA", at positions 9 to 1089 of the family's 1533-position model. The record is from RNAcentral.
GAGUUUGAUUCUGGCUCANNCCUUUNGCNUGGCGGUCUGCUUAACACAUGCAAGUCGAACGANCUCUUCGGAGUGAGUGGCGGACGGGUGAGUAACGCGUGAGAAUCUGCCUGUGGGUCGGGGACAACCACUGGAAACGGUGGCUAAUACCGGAUGAGCCGAAAGGUAAAAGAUUUAUUGCCCACAGAUGAGCUCGCGUCUGAUUAGCUAGUUGGUAAGGUAAAAGCGUACCAAGGCGACGAUCAGUAGCUGGUCUGAGAGGAUGAGCAGCCACACUGGGACUGAGACACGGCCCAGACUCCUACGGGAGGCAGCAGUGGGGAAUUUUCCGCAAUGGGCGAAAGCCUGACGGAGCAAGACCGCGUGGGGGAGGAAGGUUUUUGGAUCGUAAACCCCUUUUGUCAAGGAAGAAGCUCUGACGGUACUUGACGAAUAAGCCUCGGCUAACUCCGUGCCAGCAGCCGCGGUAAUACGGAGGAGGCAAGCGUUAUCCGGAAUGAUUGGGCGUAAAGCGUCUGUAGGUGGCCAGCUAAGUCUGCUGUUAAAGAUCACAGCUCAACUGUGGGAAGGCAGUGGAAACUGGCAAGCUAGAGGUUGGUAGGGGUAAAGGGAAUCCCCGGUGUAGCGGUGAAAUGCGUAGAUAUCGGGAAGAACACCGGUGGCGAAAGCGCUUUACUGGGCCAGACCUGACACUGAAGGACGAAAGCUAGGGGAGCGAAAGGGAUUAGAUACCCCUGUAGUCCUAGCUGUAAACGAUGGAGACUAGGUGUAGCACGUAUCGACCCGUGCUGUAUCGUAGCCAACGCGUUAAGUCUCCCGCCUGGGGAGUACGCACGCAAGUGUGAAACUCAAAGGAAUUGACGGGGGCCCGCACAAGCGGUGGAGUAUGUGGUUUAAUUCGAUGCAACGCGAAGAACCUUACCAGGGCUUGACAUGUCGCGAAUCUUGAUGAAAGUUGANAGUGCCUUCNGGAACGCGAACACAGGUGGUGCAAGGCUGUCNUCANCUCGUGUCGUGAAAUGUUGGGGUUANGUCCCC